RNAcentral lists this transfer RNA (72 nucleotides) under Acanthopagrus pacificus (Pacific sunbream). RNAcentral's name for it is "tRNA-Trp". It matches the Rfam family "tRNA". Rfam says of the family: Transfer RNA (tRNA) molecules are approximately 80 nucleotides in length. Their secondary structure includes four short double-helical elements and three loops (D, anti-codon, and T loops). The record is from RNAcentral. Lineage: Eukaryota; Metazoa; Chordata; Actinopteri; Spariformes; Sparidae.
AGAAACUUAGGCUAACCUUAAAACCGACCGCCUUCAAAGCUGUAAACAGGAGUUAAAAUCUUCUAGUUUCUG